CGACCACUCAACCGCAUCUUAUCCUAUCCCCUGCGCCUCGCCUCCCUACUCUGCCCUGCCGCUUCCCCUCCUCGCCGGCGGCUCGGCUCCUCCCUCGCGGCAGCCCACUAUCCCCGGCACCUCGCCUCCCUACUCUGCCUUGCCGCUUCCCCUCCUCGCCGGCGGCUCCUCCCUGGCGGCAGCGACCAAUACGGCGAGACGACGCGGCCGCACGAGCGGCGGCGAGGUCAGCGGUGAAUACGGCGAGGCGCCGCGUCCGCACGGGCGGCAGGGGCCAAUACGGCAAGGCGGAGCGGCCGCACAGCCGCCGCGAUGUCCAGGGGAGGAAGCGGCCAAUACAGCAAGGUGGUGUCUGUCCGGCGGCCGUACGUCCUCCUGCUUGGGCUCAACCUCCCGCUGUGCGUCCGCACCGGCAUCACCAAGCUUCCCAGCCGCGUCCGCGUCGGCUCCGAGGAUGUCCCGAUUUGGCCACCGGAGAGGAUUGGUUCGAUUGGUUCAAAGGAGUAGGACACAGAGCGUGGGCUCCGAACAUUCAGCAAAACAGGGACAUUGUGAAUUUACUAGAUUGCGACAAGUCUACACAGGGAAUAGGCCGAGUUUGGAAUGAGCAGCUUGCAGAGCUACUAUGGCCUGAGUUCUCAAAGAGGAGAUGGCAUGGAUUUAAGUACAUUAAUGUCCUUGUACGGCGGACGCCGAGACGAGCACGUGACACCAUUGCCACCC
This 723-nucleotide ribosomal RNA is filed under the name Triticum aestivum (bread wheat). RNAcentral's name for it is "partial small subunit ribosomal RNA". The record is from RNAcentral. Lineage: Eukaryota; Viridiplantae; Streptophyta; Magnoliopsida; Poales; Poaceae.